This 597-nucleotide ribosomal RNA is filed under the name uncultured bacterium. Its description in RNAcentral is "bacterial SSU rRNA". It matches the Rfam family "Bacterial small subunit ribosomal RNA", at positions 903 to 1502 of the family's 1533-position model. The record is from RNAcentral.
AAGGAAUUGACCGGGACCCGCACAAGCGGUGGAUGAUGUGGAUUAAUUCGAUGCAACGCGAAGAACCUUACCUGGUCUUGACAUGUACGGAAUCCUCCAGAGACGGAGGAGUGCCUUCGGGAGCCGUAACACAGGUGCUGCAUGGCUGUCGUCAGCUCGUGUCGUGAGAUGUUGGGUUAAGUCCCGCAACGAGCGCAACCCUUGUCAUUAGUUGCCAUCAUUUAGUUGGGCACUCUAAUGAGACUGCCGGUGACAAGCCAGAGGAAGGUGGGGAUGACGUCAAGUCCUCAUGGCCCUUAUGACCAGGGCUUCACACGUCAUACAAUGGUCGGUACAGAGGGUAGCCAAGCCGCGAGGUGGAGCCAAUCUCACAAAACCGAUCGUAGUCCGGAUUGCACUCUGCAACUCGAGUGCAUGAAGUCGGAAUCGCUAGUAAUCGCAGGUCAGCAUACUGCGGUGAAUACGUUCCCGGGUCUUGUACACACCGCCCGUCACACCAUGGGAGUGGGGGAUACCAGAAGUAGGUAGGGUAACCGCAAGGAGCCCGCUUACCACGGUAUGCUUCAUGACUGGGGUGAAGUCGUAACAAGGUAACCA